RNAcentral lists this unclassified non-coding RNA (306 nucleotides) under Poa reitzii. RNAcentral describes it as "partial external transcribed spacer". Lineage: Eukaryota; Viridiplantae; Streptophyta; Magnoliopsida; Poales; Poaceae. The record is from RNAcentral.
GUUGUGCCGGCAUGUUUACUCUGACGGUGCAAUCAAGGCAACCUCGCUCCCGCUGUUGGUCUCGGAUGUUGCCUACGUUCAAGUCUCUUGGCCCAUUUAAGUUGCCUUGACCCGACCCUAAGAAGCUCUCCGAACUGAGAACAACCGGAACAGGUGUUGCCUCUACCUCUCCACAGUUAGUGGUAGGAUUACGCAACAUUCUGCGCCGAUCCUCAAACAAGUAGGAACGAGCUUGGCCCGCUCAAUUGCGACAACCGGCCCGGCCGUUGGCUCCGCCUUGACACGCAAGUGGAUGGGUGGACAACU